CUUUAAUCUUUUAAAACUUUUAACUUAUUAACCACAAAAUUGCCAGUCGGUUUUGGAUGACCUGAUCACCUUUUUAAAAAAAAAAAAAAAAAAACAUUACCACCAAAGCCUGACCCUGAGGAUGACUUUUGCCCCAGUGCUACAUAACGCCACGAUACAAUUAAAUGAAAUUAAAGAGAAGGAGGGCGGGAUCCGUCUGCACCGCUCCGGUUUCAGUCCACUCUGACAGGAUUAAACUUGUGCAGAUACAGUUAUAUAAUCAGCGGUGGCCAAAAUGUAGAUCACAAGAUGUUAAUGGCUUUCUCUGGUUCUCACAUUUCACUGUGAUCAACACUGCUGGAUUCUGAAAAAGCCGAAUAUUUGAUCUCCUGCUGUGCAGGAAACAAGAUAGAGCAGUGAAGAAUAUAAAGAACAACAGCCAAACAACCACAAAACAAUGAAAAAACACACAAUAGACACCAAUAUAAAUACUCACAAUUAUUGAAUCCCCAGAAGGCUCCAAUAACAUCCUCCAACCGUUCAAUUCAAAAGACGUUUACUCUAUAGAGGGUAAAUGAUGUAAACAAAUCAUGGAGAGACGUCCCAAAGCGGCUAAUG
Molecule: non-coding RNA, 597 nt
Organism: Pelobates cultripes (western spadefoot toad)
Lineage: Eukaryota; Metazoa; Chordata; Amphibia; Anura; Pelobatidae
Source: the annotation of a GenBank genome assembly